AGCUGAUGCGUUGGGCAGUGAUUCUUCACUGCUGCAGCAGCUGUUCCCCUCUGGAGGUUUUACCUUCACACCUAUAAAGGGCCCCUUUUGGAGGCCCUUCUUUUU
This 105-nucleotide small RNA is filed under the name Martelella endophytica. RNAcentral's name for it is "Alphaproteobacterial ar15". It matches the Rfam family "Alphaproteobacterial ar15". The record is from Rfam by way of RNAcentral. Lineage: Bacteria; Pseudomonadati; Pseudomonadota; Alphaproteobacteria; Hyphomicrobiales; Aurantimonadaceae.